UCUUUUAUAGUUUAAAUAUAAAAUAUCAGAUUCAUGCUCUGAAGUUGAUAAUCGAUUAGGUUAUCUAAGAGAU
RNAcentral lists this transfer RNA (73 nucleotides) under Hanseniaspora uvarum. RNAcentral's name for it is "tRNA-Met". It matches the Rfam family "tRNA". From Rfam's summary of the family: Transfer RNA (tRNA) molecules are approximately 80 nucleotides in length. Their secondary structure includes four short double-helical elements and three loops (D, anti-codon, and T loops). Further hydrogen bonds mediate the characteristic L-shaped molecular structure. tRNAs have two regions of fundamental functional importance: the anti-codon, which is responsible for specific mRNA codon recognition, and the 3' end, to which the tRNAs corresponding amino acid is attached (by aminoacyl-tRNA synthetases). tRNAs cope with the degeneracy of the genetic code in two manners: having more than one tRNA (with a specific anti-codon) for a particular amino acid; and 'wobble' base-pairing, i.e. permitting non-standard base-pairing at the 3rd anti-codon position. Lineage: Eukaryota; Fungi; Ascomycota; Saccharomycetes; Saccharomycodales; Saccharomycodaceae. The record is from RNAcentral.